This 733-nucleotide ribosomal RNA is filed under the name Stenotrophomonas maltophilia. Its description in RNAcentral is "bacterial SSU rRNA". It matches the Rfam family "Bacterial small subunit ribosomal RNA", at positions 322 to 1046 of the family's 1533-position model. Lineage: Bacteria; Pseudomonadati; Pseudomonadota; Gammaproteobacteria; Lysobacterales; Lysobacteraceae. The record is from RNAcentral.
AGACACGGUCCAGACUCCUACGGGAGGCAGCAGUGGGGAAUAUUGGACAAUGGGCGCAAGCCUGAUCCAGCCAUACCGCGUGGGUGAAGAAGGCUUUCGGGUUGUAAAGCCCUUUUGUUGGGAAAGAAAUCCAGCCGGCUAAUACCUGGUUGGGAUGACGGUACCCAAAGAAUAAGCACCGGCUAACUUCGUGCCAGCAGCCGCGGUAAUACGAAGGGUGCCAGCGUUACUUGGAAUUACUGGGCGUAAAGCGUGCGUAGGUGGUCGUUUAAGUCCGUUGUGAAAGCCCUGGGCUCAACCUGGGAACUGCAGUGGAUACUGGGCGACUAGAGUGUGGUAGAGGGUAGCGGAAUUCCUGGUGUAGCAGUGAAAUGCGUAGAGAUCAGGAGGAACAUCCAUGGCGAAGGCAGCUACCUGGACCAACACUGACACUGAGGCACGAAAGCGUGGGGAGCAAACAGGAUUAGAUACCCUGGUAGUCCACGCCCUAAACGAUGCGAACUGGAUGUUGGGUGCAAUUUGGCACGCAGUAUCGAAGCUAACGCGUUAAGUUCGCCGCCUGGGGAGUACGGUCGCAAGACUGAAACUCAAAGGAAUUGACGGGGGCCCGCACAAGCGGUGGAGUAUGUGGUUUAAUUCGAUGCAACGCGAAGAACCUUACCUGGCCUUGACAUGUCGAGAACUUUCCAGAGAUGGAUUGGUGCCUUCGGGAACUCGAACACAGGUGCUGCAU